GACGAACGCUGGCGGCGUGCCUAAUACAUGCAAGUCGAGCGAACAGACGAGGAGCUUGGUCCUUUGAAGUUAGCGGCGGACGGGUGAGUAAGACGUGGCUAACCUACCUAUAAGACUGGGAUAACUUCGGGAAAGCGGAGAUAAUACCGGAUCACAUAUUGAACCGAAUGGUUCAAUAGUUAAAGACGGUUUUGCUGUCACUUAUAGAUGGAUCCGCUCCGCAUUAGCUAGUUGGUAAGGUAAGGGCUUACCAAGGCAACGAAGCCUAGCCGACCUGUUGGUGUGAUUCAGUCCGCGAGAACUCGCCCGCAGACCAGAGACCUGGGAGAUGCACCAGAUGGGAAGCUUGCGCAACAGGCGAAAGCCUGGAGGAGCAGCGUCGCGUCUGUUAUGGAAAUCUCCGGUCCGUAAAAGCCUCUUAAGGGGUAAGAAAAUAUGUGUAAAUUGCUUAGUCCGGCUUGACGGUAUCGUAAGAAUAAGCCCCGGCUAAAUACGUG
This 497-nucleotide ribosomal RNA is filed under the name uncultured bacterium. RNAcentral describes it as "partial 16S ribosomal RNA". It matches the Rfam family "Bacterial small subunit ribosomal RNA", at positions 28 to 507 of the family's 1533-position model. The record is from RNAcentral.